This 301-nucleotide ribosomal RNA is filed under the name uncultured bacterium. RNAcentral's name for it is "partial 16S ribosomal RNA". It matches the Rfam family "Bacterial small subunit ribosomal RNA", at positions 509 to 807 of the family's 1533-position model. The record is from RNAcentral.
CAGCAGCCACGGGAAUACGUAGGGUGCAAGCGUUAAUCGGAAUUACUGGGCGUAAAGCGUGCGUAGGCGGUGAGUUAAGUCUGCUGUGAAAUCCCCGGGCUCAACCUGGGAAUGGCAGUGGAUACUGGCUCGCUAGAGUGUGUCAGAGGAUGGUGGAAUUCCCGGUGUAGCGGUGAAAUGCGUAGAGAUCGGGAGGAACAUCAGUGGCGAAGGCGGCCAUCUGGGACAACACUGACGCUGAGGCACGAAAGCGUGGGGAGCAAACAGGAUUAGAUACCCCAGUAGUCCCUGUCUCUUAUAC